This 2144-nucleotide long non-coding RNA is filed under the name Carica papaya (papaya). RNAcentral's name for it is "long non-coding RNA (CPAP_LNC002857)". Lineage: Eukaryota; Viridiplantae; Streptophyta; Magnoliopsida; Brassicales; Caricaceae. The record is from RNAcentral.
UGAUAUUUAAACUCUUAAAUUAAAUGCUCUUAAAUAUAUGACGAAAUUAACAAUUAUCAAAUAUUUUUCAACAAAUAUUUAAUCACCUAAACAAGUAUACUCAAAGGAAAAUUAAAAUCAAGACACAAGAUCAAUCUAAUCACCUAAACAAAAAAUUAAUUCAUAACUUAUAAAUUAAAUCCAAUAUGUAAUUAAGAGGUAAGAAUAGAAAAAUUACAAAAUCGAUUAUCAUGGAGGUUCAACCAUCCACAUGUGCUUACGUCAUCUCUUCGAGUCAACCGCUUAAGUACUUCAACUAUCUUCUUAUAUUCUGAUAAGUGUUUAUUUUUUAGGUGUAUAGUUUCAUCAUUUACAAAUUACUUAUUUAUCUUGGUAUCAAGCUUUACCAAUUAAGUGCUACUCUCAAUACUUAACCCUCAAGAGGUUCACACAACUCUUUAUACAAACGCUCAAGAAUAUAUAAUGAAAUAUUUAAACUUUCUUAUCACAAAGAUAAAAAUUAUAAGAUCACAUUAAGAAAUUAUAGAAAUGAUUUUUGAAGAUUAAUCUCAAGAUAAUUUGAUUAUUUUAAGUAUUUAGCUCAAGAAAAUUUUCUCAAAAUAAAUCUUUGUUUUCAAACUUCAAGUAUUUGAAAGAAUAAAAGCAAUAAGCUUUCUAUAAAAAGUAGAUUUUUAAGUUAAAACUAGACAAGAAAAUAUAUAUUUUUUUUUUCAAAUGAUUAAAUCAAAUUUUAACCCUAAUACAUCUUCCAAAAUUUUAUUCAAUAAAAAGAUAUAUGAAUAAUAUCUAAAAUCAUAAAAAAGUAUUAAAUAUUAUUUCGAGAAUCCCUUAUUUAAGAAUAGAUAAUAACAUGAAGAAAAAGAAGAUUUAAAAUUUUGAAGUUAAAAGAAAGUGGAAAGAUUUCUUUUUAAGAUUUAAAUUUGACUCUUAAAAAUCAUGAAGCAUUAAUAGAUAAAAUCUUCUUAUAGUUAGCAUUAAAUGCACGUAGAAGAAGUAGAAACACACGUCUACAAAGUCCAAGUCAUGCAAAUAUAAUCCUCCCAUCGUUACAUACAUUCUCAUAAUGAGCCUCACAUGCAUCACAUAACUUUUACCUUCAUUAUCUUAAGUAGUUUUUAAUCCAAAUUUUCUUCCAACUUUUCUAUCCUGAGGAAAAGACUAUUCAAAAUAUUUUUUUAGAAAGAAGAUCACAAGGAAAUUAACUUUAAAAUACUUUAUAAUAUAAGUCAAUUUUCACAUAAAUUCAUUAAUAAUUUUAUCAAACUUUAAAAAAGCUAAGAAAUUAUACAAAUAAUUUUUCACGUAAACAAUAUCAAAAAUAAAAUUUAAAGAUACUAAACUUGAUUAUUCAAUAUUCUCCAAAAUGAAUCUUAAGCAAAAAAAAUGGAACACCUACUUCCAUUAGAUGGCAUUAUAUCUAGAGACUUAUAUUUCUAAUUUCAUCUCUUUCAAAUAUAUCAAUGUAAUCUCCAAGAACUACAUCUUCUUUUUCCUCCUCUUUUUGCCUAUGUCCAAGAGAUCUUUAAUCUCUACUUCCACUACUUUUAGUAUUGUUAUAAAUAUUGUUUUAAAAUCUCACUUUAAAACAAUAAUAAUACAAAUUAAGUAAUUGUCAUUUUAUCAAAAUCAAUGCAUGUACUCCAACAAUAUCCUCUUUUUAAUAGAUAAGAAAACCUAAUGUAUUCUUUUAACUAAUCAUUAAAUAAUAAAAGAGGAGGAUGCUAUGGCUUACUCAAUAAGUUAAUCAUGAUUCCCUACCUCAACAAAGCUUAUGAAGCUUCUUAACUUGAAGACGCUUAAAGAACACUCACAAAAUUAGUAAAGCUAAUUUUAAGAAGCAAGUAAAAGCUUGAAACUCUAUUAAUUUUCUGAAUUCUUGAAUUAUGUUUACAAUCUAACGAUUGAAGCAUUUAUAUGGGUUUUUAUUUACUAAUCCGAUGUGAAAUAGGAUUGCAUAUUCCUAUUUGAACUCUUAAAACUAAUUUAACUAGGACUCUUAUUGAAACUUAAUUAAUUAAUAGAAUUCUAAUCUACAAAAAUUAAAAAAAAUUAAUAAAAUAAACUAUUUAAUUAAAGAAGACUUCUUUUCCUUAUAGCCUCUUUUAUGCUUCAAUUUGCUUUGAAUUUUAGUAGAAACCUGCAGN